This 564-nucleotide long non-coding RNA is filed under the name Mytilus galloprovincialis (Mediterranean mussel). Lineage: Eukaryota; Metazoa; Mollusca; Bivalvia; Mytilida; Mytilidae. The record is from RNAcentral.
GUCUGAUAUGAAAUAUUGUUCUAAUUGUAUACAUGGUUAUGAUGGUAUUUGUUCUUUUGUUAGAUUUAAAACAUAAACAAAGUGCAACAUUAAUAUUGUUUUGAAUUAUUCUACUAAAUAAGUGUUUAGAUUGGUGAUCCAUUCUUUGAAGAUAUAAAAUCUUGCUCAUAAUAAAAAAAAAACCUUAGUAAGACUCCUCGACAAUCGAACUCUUAAGGGGGCUCUCGGGUCUAAAUCAAUUUUUUUAAAUAUAGAUUUCGCUAUUUUAUUUCUUUAAAUAAACUUUAUCCUAUACUUAAUAGAAAAUUAAAUAAAAAUAUUGGGUCACCGUUCAUUUAAGCUCACAAUCUGCCUUUGAAAGAAGUAUGCAUUUUUGUUAAGGUACCUUUUUUCUGUCGAACUAAUAGGAGAAAAAAAGGUAAAAUCAACAUAAAAAAAUAACUAAAGUACAGAAAUCGCAUAAAUUUUACAAAUGUCUAGGUUUUUUUUCAGUACAGUUCAAUUAAAAAAAUAAUCAAAAAUAUGGGUCACCAAUGAGUUAAAAAAAAGUUAUUUCAAUUUUUA